This 4558-nucleotide small RNA is filed under the name Pongo abelii (Sumatran orangutan). Its description in RNAcentral is "processed transcript". Lineage: Eukaryota; Metazoa; Chordata; Mammalia; Primates; Hominidae. The record is from RNAcentral.
AGCCGGGGACCGGCGUGGUGCUGGCACUGUCUGGGCCAGAGCCUGGGGAGCUGGCACCUGCCGAGCUGGAGAUGCUGUCCCGGAGCCUGAUGGGGACACUGUCGAAGCUGGCACGGGAGCGUGACCUGGGGGUCCAGCGGCUGGCUGAACUGCUGCUGGAGCGAGAACCCCUCUGCUUGAGGCCUGAGGCUCCCUCUAGGGCUCCCGCUGAGGGCCCCUCGCACCAUCUGGCCCUGCAGCUGGCCAACGCCAAGGCUCAGCUGCGGCGUCUGCGGCAGGAGCUGGAGGAGAAGGCCGAGCUGCAGCUAGACUCCCAGGCCGAGGUGCAGGGUUUGGAGGCCGAAAUAAGAAGGCUCCGCCAGGAGCUCCACACCGUCUGGCCCAGGCCCAGGCGCUGUCGGGACAGGCCAAGCGGGCCGAGCUGUACCGCGAGGAGGCAGAGGCGCUGCGGGAGCGGGCCAGCCGCCUGCCCCGCCUGCAGGAGGAGCUGAGGCGCUGCCGCGAGCGACUGCAGGCGGCUGAGGCCUGCAAGAACCAGCUGGAGGAGGAGCGGGUGCUCUCAGGGGUGCUGGAGGCCUCCAAGGCGCUGCUGGAAGAGCAGCUGGAGGCUGCCCGAGAGCGCUGCGCCCGGCUGCACGAGACCCAGCGCGAGAACCUGCUGCUGCGGACCCGGCUGGGCGAGGCCCAUGCGGAGCUGGACUCUCUGCGGCAUCAGGUGGACCAGCUGGCUGAGGAGAAUGUGGAGCUGGAGCUGGAGCUUCAGCGGAGCUUGGAGCCACCUCCAGGAUCCCCUGGGGAGGCACCCCUGGCAGGAGCGGCCCCCUCGCUGCAAGAUGAGGUGAGGGAGGCAGAGGCUGGGCGGCUUCGGACACUUGAGAGGGAGAACCGGGAGCUUCGGGGGCUGCUUCAGGUGCUUCAGGGGCAGCCAGGGGGCCAGCACCUCCUGCUGGAGGCGCCAAGAGAGGACCCUGUGCUUCCGGUGCUGGAGAAGGCUCCCCAGACUCCUGUGGCCUCCGACCACAGCCCUCAGGGCUUGGUUCAGAAGGCAAGCGAUGGAGGCCCCCAGGCCUUGGACUUGGCUCCCCCAGCAUUAGACUCAGUGCUCGAGGGGUCAGCUGAGUGUCCCCAGGCACCUGAUUCAGACCCACAGGAGGCAGAGAGUUCCCUUCAGACAGCUGCCAUGGACCCCCAGGCCUCAGACUGGUCCCCCCAAGAGUCAGGCUCUCCUGUGGAGACACAGGAGUCCCCGGAGAAGGCUGGCCAUAGAUCCUCUCUCCAGAGCCCUGCCUCUGUGGCCCCACCUCAGAGUCCAGGGACCAAAAUUCAGGCCCCGCAGUUACUGGGAGGAGAGACCAACGGAAGAGAGGCUCCCCAAGGUGAAUUGGUGCCUGAGGCCUGGGGGUUGAGACAGGAGGGCCCUGAGCACAAGCCAGGGCCUUCGGAGCCCAGCUCUGUGCAGCUGGAGGAGCAGGAGGGCCCAAACCAGGGCCUGGACCUGGCCACGGGACAAACAGAGGCCAGAGAGCAUAACCAGAGGCUGGAAGGGACGGUCGGGGACCCAGCCUGGCAAAAACCACAGCAGAAGUCAGAAGGGGCUCUUGAGGUCCAGGCCUGGGAAGGCCCAAUCCCAGGCGAGAGCCUGGCCAGUGGUGUCGCAGAGCAGGAGGCCCUCAGGGAGGAGGUGGCACAGUUGAGGAGAAAGGCUGAGGCCCUUGGAGCUGAGCUGGAAGCCCAGGCCCGCAAGCUGGAGGCCCAAGACACGGAGACUGCCCGCCUCUCCAAGGAGCUGGCCCAAGCGCGAAGGGCAGAGGCCGAGGCCCACCGGGAGGCAGAGGCCCAGGCCUGGGAGCAAGCCCGGCUGCGGGAGGCAGUGGAGGCUGCCGGCCGGGAGCUGAAGGCUGCGUCCCAGGAACGGGAGGCGCUGGUGGAGGCGCUGGCAGCAGCGGGCCGGGAGAGGAGGCAGUGGGAGCGUGAGGGGUCCAGGCUGCGGGCCCAGUCGGAGGCCACCGAGGAACGGAUGCAGGCGCUGGAGAGCGAGGGCCGCCAGCACUUGAAGGAGGCUGAGAAGGAGCGCCGGGAGAAGGAGGCCCUCCAGGCGGAGCUGGAGAAAGCUGUGGUGCGGGGCAAGGAAUUGGGGGCCCGGCUGGAGCAUCUGCAGCGUGAGCUGGAGCAGGCGGCUCUCGAGCGCCGGGAAUUUCUGCGAGAACAGGAAAGCCAGCACCAGAGGUACCAGGGCUUGGAGCAGCGGCUGGAAGCUGAGCUGCAGGCGGCGGCGACCAGCAAGGAGGAGGCGCUGAUGGAGCUCAAGACCAGGGCCCUGCAGCUGGAAGAGGAGCUGUUCCAGCUGCGCCAGGGCCCCUCAGGGCUGGGGCCCAAAAUGUGUGCGGAGCCUCGGCUGGUGGAGACCCAGAACGUGCGGCUUAUCGAGGUGGAGCGCAGUGUGAGUGUGGGCCCACAGUGGGCCCUGGGGAGGUGCCCCCUGCAGUGUGAGUGUGGGUCCACAGUGGACCCUGGGCUGGGGGGUAUCCCGUGCAGUGUGGGUGUGGACUCAGGCCCGGGGGUGGGGGUGCCCCAUGCAGUGUGAGUGUGGGCCUGUGGUAGGCACUGGGGGGUGCCCCCGCCACCUGGCUACCGCUAACCCCCACUUCUGGGCAGAAUGCGACGCUGGUGGCAGAGAAGGCAGCUUUGCAGGGGCAGCUGCAGCACCUGGAGGGGCAGCUGGGGAGCCUGCAGGGCCGUGCCCAGGAGCUGCUGCUGCAGAGCCAGCGGGCGCAGGAGCACAGCAGCCGCCUGCAGGCCGAGAAGUCUGUGCUGGAGAUUCAGGGCCAGGAGCUGCACCGGAAGCUGGAGGUGCUGGAGGAGGAGGUGCGGGCGGCACGGCAGUCCCAGGAGGAGACCCGUGGGCAGCAGCAGGCCCUGCUUCGGGACCACGAGGCCCUGGCACAGCUGCAGCGGCGGCAGGAGGCCGAGCUAGAGGGACUGCUGGUGCGGCACCGAGACCUCAAGGCCAACAUGCGGGCACUGGAGCUGGCCCACCGGGAGCUGCAGGGCCGGCAUGAGCAGCUGCAGGCCCAGCGGGCCAGCGUGGAGGCACAGGAGGUGGCCCUGCUGGCAGAGCGUGAACGCCUGAUGCAGGAUGGGCAUCGGCAGCGGGGCCUGGAGGAGGAGCUGCGGAGGCUUCAGAGCGAGCACGACAGGGCUCAGAUGCUGCUGGCAGAGGUGUCUCGGGAGCGGGGUGAGCUGCAGGGUGAACGCGGGGAGCUACGGGGCCGGCUGGCGCGGCUGGAGCUGGAGCGGGCACAGCUGGAGAUGCAGAGCCAGCAGCUGCGCGAGUCCAACCAGCAGCUGGACCUGAGCGCCUGCCGGCUGACCACGCAGUGUGAGCUAUUGACACAGCUGCGAAGUGCCCAGGAAGAGGAGAACCGGCAGCUGCUGGCUGAAGUUCAGGCCCUGAGCCGGGAGAACAGGGAGCUCCUGGAGCGCAGCCUGGAGAGCCGGGACCACCUGCACCGCGAACAGCGGGAGUACCUGGACCAGCUUAAUGCCCUGCGCCGCGAGAAGCAGAAGCUCGUGGAGAAGAUCAUGGACCAAUAUCGCGUGCUGGAGCCUGGGCCCCUGCCCCGGACCAAGAAGGGCAGCUGGCUGGCAGACAAGGUGAAGAGGCUGAUGCGGCCCCGGCGGGAGGGGGGCCCCCCUGGGGGGCUGCGCCUGGGGGCCGAUGGGGCUGGCAGCACCGAGAGCCUGGGGGGCCCCCCGGAGACGGAGCUUCCUGAGGGCAGGGAGGCAGAUGGGACAGGGUCCCCUUCCCCAGCACCCAUGCGCCGGGCCCAGAGCUCCCUCUGCCUGCGGGAUGAGACCUUGGCAGGCGGGCAGCGGCGGAAACUCAGCUCAAGGUUCCCGGUGGGGCGAAGCUCUGAGUCAUUCAGCCCUGGGGACACCCCUAGGCAACGAUUCCGACAGCGCCGUCCAGGCCCCCUGGGGGCACCCAUCUCCCACAGCAAAGGACCUGGUGUGGGAUGGGAGAACUCCGCUGAGACCCUCCAGGAGCACGAAACAGAUGCCAGCCGAGAGGGCCCCGAGGUACAGGAACCGGAGAAACGUCCCCUCACCCCGUCCCUCAGCCAGUGACGCCGUGGGGACAGCAGGCUUGGGAGUGCAGCCUUCUCGGCACUGGAGUGUCAGCGGAGGCCCCAGGCAGCCCAAGAGCUCAGGGAGCCAGGGCCCCCAAGGGGAGUCUUUGGACAAGGAGGCCUGGGCCCUGAGAUCCUCCACGGUCAGCGCCGGGGCCCGGAGAUGGAGCCGGGACGAGUGUGUGGACAGGGGGGACGGCUGGCCCCCACGAGCAGCUCCAGGCCGGGGUUCUGCUUCUUCCAGGUGGCUCCCGCUGAGGCAGCGGUCUCUGGGGGAUCCCCCAGCUGAAGGAGGCCGGCAGGAGUUGGCAAGAGAACCCCCUGCCCUGUCCAGGUGGAGAGCUGAGUCCCAGUACUGGGGGACUGUGGCCUGGGCUGAUCUUGAGCCUUAACUGGACAUGAGGGACAUGAGAAUAAAGCUGAACUGC